Molecule: ribosomal RNA, 112 nt
Filed under: Caerostris darwini
Lineage: Eukaryota; Metazoa; Arthropoda; Arachnida; Araneae; Araneidae
Source: RNAcentral
AACGGCCGUACCAUGCUGAAUAUACCGGUUCUCGUUAGAUCACCGAAGUUAAGCAUCAUUGGGCGCGGUCAGUACUUGGGUGGGUGACCACCUGGAAACACCGCGUGCCGUU